RNAcentral lists this ribosomal RNA (253 nucleotides) under uncultured bacterium. RNAcentral's name for it is "partial 16S ribosomal RNA". It matches the Rfam family "Bacterial small subunit ribosomal RNA", at positions 524 to 776 of the family's 1533-position model. The record is from RNAcentral.
UACGUAGGCAGCGAGCGUUGUUCGGAGUUACUGGGCGUAAAGAGUGCGUAGGCGGUUUUCUAAGUUUGGUGUGAAAUCUCCCGGCUUAACUGGGAGGGUGCGACGAAAACUGGAAGGCUUGAGUAUGGGAGAGGUAAGCGGAAUUCCUGGUGUAGCGGUGAAAUGCGUAGAUAUCAGGAGGAACACCUGCGGUGUAGACGGCUUACUGGACCAUAACUGACGCUGAGGCACGAAAGCGUGGGUAGCAAACAGG